AAAGCAACCACGACAGCGUCAGUGUGAGGGGACUGGUUCCCUCACAGCACACACACCCCCUCCUCUUUCCCUCUGUCUCUUCCUUAUAUCCGUCCAGCGUUCACGCUCUGCUCAGUUAGUUGGGGAAACACACUCAGCCACUGGAGCGCAAGGAAAGGUAUGUUUGGUUACACAUCAUGUAGAGCAAGCAGGGGCUUCCACCACUUCAGCAAGGGGUGCUUUCUUAUCUUUGUUAUUUAGGAAACAUUUUAAAGACAUCAGCACCGUUUCACAUUGCUGAGCAGUAGAAAAGUUUGAAAAAAGACAUGAGCCUUUAAUCAGGGUUGGCAGGGCGUCUUGGAAGGAGAGGCACGACCGAAAAACUCCUUUUUUUGUAAGCUUUGCGGAAUAAAAGACAAAGGAGGAUGGAAGUAUUCACAUGAAACAGCUUUGUUACCCUCCCACCCCCAUCUGCCCAUCAACUGACUCCAUUCUUCAACUUGACAUCAUCCUUCCACACAGACAAGAAGCAGAAGAAGAAGGAGAAGAGAGAGGCAGCGGUGGUGAGGCAAAGCAGGCGAGAAGAGAGGAGGAAGAGCAGAGAGAGGAGGUGGGCAGCACAGUUUUCAGCUCUCACACGGCUGAGGAGGAGAAAGUGACAGCAGCUAGAACUUGGCCACUAGUGAGAUGAAAUUCGGGGAGGAGACGCUGGAGCGCUGCGGGAGACGACGUCCAACGAGAGCCCUGAAAUUGGAGCGCCUGGAAGACGAGCCAGCCCUCUCUGGAUCCUGUGCCCCACCACAGCCGAAGGAUGAGAGGGGUCGACUUUCGCCUUAGUUGCCAGGGAUGUCUGUGCACUACGGAAAGGCGUCCCCCUCCAGCAUGUCCAAUGCUAUGUUAUUCCUGAUGCUUUGCAAGGUGGCUUCAGCACAGAGAAGACAGAGUAAACAGAAAGCAAUACACAUGCCAACACAGAUAAAAGAUUGGUCUGAGACGAAAACUGCAGACUUUUCCAGGGAAAAUGGUAAACACUGUCUACAAUGAUGAGGAAAAGGGAAUCCAAGACAAGGAAAGUAAGGAGGAGAGCAUCUUGGCCAUGCUGGGCAUCAUUGGGACCAUUCUCAACCUGGUAGUGAUCAUCUUUGUCUACAUCUACACCACCUUGUAGGUUUAAAACUCUUUCUGUGCUUCAUCCGCUGGAAGAGCAGAGCCCUUGUGAGCUAUUACAGCUGCAUUGUGUUGACUGGUAUGGAGAUAAAGAUGGGAGGAGCGAGGAAGAGGCAGAAAUUACUCGGUGGUGAACUGGAUCUAAGACUCGGCCAUUUGGCAUCCCUCCUGCAUCACUUCAAAAAGCUGAGACUCUGGGAAACUGGUUCCUUCUUCUCCCCUUCACAGGUAGAUUUAUCCAGAAUGUCUGGUCAUUUUUGACUUGUACAUAAAUGCAUGAAACUGGCACUCAAGAGAUGCAGCUUUUACCAACAUGUGGACUUAAAAGACUGCAGAGAGAGAGUGGACAGUUUUGGCGAAUAUUUUCCAGAUGUUCUUAUAAACUCAAGUAUGAAAAUUGUCUGAUCUGCUUCCAUGGGACAAAAGAUGUACAGAGAAAGUCAACACAGGUAUCUGCAGUGCUGUUUAUUAUUUUUCCACUUACUAAGAUUUAAACAGGCAUAUUAAAAAGUAAAAUGUUAUUCAGCUUGAUUUAAUGUUUGCUUUUAUACUGUAUACUUUCUCAUGAUGCUUUCAAAAUUCUCAACUUUGGAUGACAGUUUUUUGAGACUUUAUCACCUGAAAAUGAGUUAUGUUCACUUAGUUUUAAGUUGUUUCAUGUACAUUUAUUGAAACAAGUGGUGUCUUUAAAUGGCUAAAUGUCAGUUUAAAGUGCUAAAAUGCAUCCAUAAUGGAUACACUUGACAUUGUGCUUGACUUUAAAUGAUGGAAGAUUAGACUGAUUUGCAGAAUUUAGUAGAAAGUACUGAGAUUAUUAUUUAUUAUUCAAGUUUUAAAUGCAUCCCUUCAGUCUUUAAAGGUCAUCAAUGUUGAAAUGAGAUGCAAAUGGUUUAAAAAUUAUGUCAAAAUCUCUACUCUGGAGGAGGAAAAACAUCGUCUAAGCAUAACUGAGGAAAAGGUGUUUUACUUCUACUUCAGGCAAGUGCAGCUUUAACAAUGAGAUACGUCAUGAAAUACAUUUCAGGCUGCAUGAGUGUAUCAACAGGCACAGUGGGCUACAUAAUCAUCAUGUUAUGAUCACACUAUAAACUCUUCACCCAAAUGUACAUAGGAAUUGCUACGCUUGAAAGUUAAAGACAGUUUGCGUUUUUUUGGCCAUCAAUCUCAGUUUGUGCAUCAUUGAUUAAAACAGAGACUUGUGCAUAAUGACUGCCUUAAAACAUGAGGAAAUGGCUAUUUCCACGAUGUAUAAAUCUAUCAGGUUAUCACUACUUUCACUUCUUGUACAUACAUUUAAUUCAGUACCAAUGUCAUAUGUUUUAUUGGUCAUUUAAUGGGUCAUUUUAUAAAAGUAUCCUGCUUUUGUCUUAAACAACAUGCAAAACCUUUGAGCUUUUCAGUGGUGACCGAGUUAUUUCCAGGCCUGGGCCAAAAUACACAAACAAGUUUUUAGAAGUGUUAGACUGAAAAGGAAUUCCACAAUGAAAACAGUAUAAUUUUUGAUGGUUUUGUCUUUAACAUUUUGACAUCUGUCAGUAUUUUACACUCCAUCCAUCUUGGUGCAAACCUGUUUAGAAAUCACAUCUACAUACAACUAAUCUGCAAUAACAAAUGUGUUUAGAAGGAAAAGUAAUGCAUCCUGGAUUAGGUUUUCCAUUAAUAUAAUGAGGAAAUGCUUUUAAUUAAUAUGCUUAGGGAGUUGAAAUGUGGAUGCUAACUGCUCGCUAACAACAUGUUUCAUUUCUAUCGACUAAAAUGUUUCUUUCUGAUAUACUAGAUCCACUUGUACUCACUAAAGCAUUAUUAUUUUUUAUGGUAAUGUUUAGGCACUGCAUGGUUGCACUUGGUUAAAGUUAGAAGUUGGAAAGGUUAGAUAAAAGUCUGCAGUAACUUUACACACAACAUAUUUGUUACCAUUUACCUAAAACCACUAUAUUUUCCUAACCUUAACCAAAGUGCCUUUGUUGCCUAAACCUAACUAUAGAUCAGAGUUAUGAACCCUGUGUUUCAGACGUCCACCAUCUACCCCAACCUCCUCCCACCAACAGUAGUAUAAUUCAUUGAUGUACUUCUUCGUUCAUUUAAAAACAAAUCUUGUAGUUAUAAUAUUACAGUAACUUGGAGGAAACAGAUUUGCUGAGGGAUGAAGUUCCAUCUAACUUGACCCAGGACUGGAAAUAACAUUUUUGUACUUAAACACAGCAAGAAAGUGUGUCAGUUUUACUCCUAUAUUUAUAGUUUGACCCAAUCUGGGCCUGCUUGGACAAGUUGAAUCAGGUCAGGUCAUGAGACAGUUUGAACUGAAAUUAACUUUGUUUUUCAUUAAUUCAUGGGAAAGAGACUUGCAUGUAACGGUCUGAUCAGUUAUUUCUCAUCUGUAGAUUUGCAUUGAUGGAAUAGUUCAACGUUUGGGGAAAACACAGAGUUUUAGAGGUGCUUGAAGGUGGAUUUUGCUACCUUUAUACUAAGCUGAACUAACAUGCUGCUGACUGUCCUCACAUUUUGAGGUCAGAUAUGAGAGUGGUAUUGAUCUGAUCUUCAACUCUCAGCAAGAAAACAAAUAGGCUCCCAAAUGUCGUUCCAUUCCAGCAAAGAAAGAAGCUAUAGGAGAUGAAAAAAAGGCGUAAAAAUAACGAUGUACAGUAUGUAGAGAAUGUACGGCUUUAGACUGCAGGCUACAUUACCUGUAAAAUAUUAUUUGAGUUUGUCAGUUAAUAACCUCGUGACUUCAGAAAGUGCCUGAGAUAAAAGUGUCUCACCCUCACGGUGGAGAGGUGAAGGAAAGGAAACCACAAACCAGUGAGGGGAUCUUUAUACGGCCACCUGUCAUACAGUUAGGAGAGAGGAAAAAGUUGAAGAAAAACAUGUAUUAUGUAUGCAGCAGCAGAGUGUUGCAUUCAUAAUGGGACUGGAUUUCUACUACAUGGCUUAGUUAAUAAAGCCGGCCACCGUUUGUCUUGGAUGAAGUGCACCUACUUGUUUCACACAAUACAGAAAAUGAAAGCUUAGUAAGCACACGGACAAGUCUGACGAAUGUAUUCAUAUUUGAUGUAAAAUCUGAUCAUUCUUGUUCUCCUUAUUGUUUACUUAUCUUUCCUGAAGCAAUGUAAUCAGAACAAUUCUUUAUGUUUUAUUUAUGCGUAUGCAAAAUCUAUUUAAACUCAUUGUAUUGGUCUCUUGUGGGUGACAAAUGGAUGGGCUAAACGUUUUUCAGCCUGCAGUUUUGUUAAAAAAAAAAACCUUGAAUAAAUACAUCUUGGAAGUGA
Acanthochromis polyacanthus (spiny chromis) is the source of this 4412-nucleotide long non-coding RNA. RefSeq lists it as uncharacterized. Lineage: Eukaryota; Metazoa; Chordata; Actinopteri; Pomacentridae. The record is from RefSeq and is a predicted model, not a curated record. The transcript has 3 exons.